RNAcentral lists this ribosomal RNA (1258 nucleotides) under metagenome. RNAcentral's name for it is "bacterial LSU rRNA". It matches the Rfam family "Bacterial large subunit ribosomal RNA", at positions 1635 to 2881 of the family's 2925-position model. The record is from RNAcentral.
UACACGACCGUACCGCAAACCGACACUGGUGCGCGAGAUGAGUAUUCUAAGGCGCUUGAGAGAACUCAGGAGAAGGAACUCGGCAAAUUGACACCGUAACUUCGGAAGAAGGUGUGCCUUUAGUAGGUGAAGGGAUUUACUCCUAGAGCCCAAUGAGGUUGCAAAAAAUCGGUGGCUGCGACUGUUUAUUAAAAACACAGCACUCUGCAAACACGAAAGUGGACGUAUAGGGUGUGACGCCUGCCCGGUGCUGGAAGAUUAAAUGAUGGGGUGCAAGCUCUUGAUUGAAGUCCCAGUAAACGGCGGCCGUAACAAUAACGGUCCUAAGGUAGCGAAAUUCCUUGUCGGGUAAGUUCCGACCUGCACGAAUGGCGUAACGAUGGCCACACUGUCUCCUCCUGAGACUCAGCGAAGUUGAAAUGUUUGUGAUGAUGCAAUCUCCCCGCGGAAAGACGGAAAGACCCCAUGAACCUUUACUGUAGCUUUGUAUUGGACUUUGAACAGAUCUGUGUAGUAUAGGUGGGAGGCUUUGAAGUAGGGUCGCUAGAUCUUAUGGAGCCAACGUUGAAAUACCACCCUGGUGUGUUUGAGGUUCUAACCUAGGUCCAUUAUCUGGAUCGGGGACAGUGCAUGGUAGGCAGUUUGACUGGGGCGGUCUCCUCCCAAAGCGUAACGGAGGAGUUCGAAGGUACGCUAGUUACGGUCGGACAUCGUGACGAUAGUGCAAUGGCAUAAGCGUGCUUAACUGCGAGACUGACAAGUCGAGCAGAUGCGAAAGCAGGACAUAGUGAUCCGGUGGUUCUGUAUGGAAGGGCCAUCGCUCAACGGAUAAAAGGUACUCUGGGGAUAACAGGCUGAUACCGCCCAAGAGUUCAUAUCGACGGCGGUGUUUGGCACCUCGAUGUCGGCUCAUCUCAUCCUGGGGCUGUAGCCGGUCCCAAGGGUAUGGCUGUUCGCCAUUUAAAGAGGUACGUGAGCUGGGUUUAAAACGUCGUGAGACAGUUUGGUCCCUAUCUUCCGUGGGCGCUGCAGAUUUGAAGAAGCCUGCUCCUAGUACGAGAGGACCGGAGAGGACACACCUCUGGUGUAUCGGUUGUCACGCCAGUGGCAUUGCCGAGUAGCUAAGUGUGGAAGAGAUAACCGCUGAAAGCAUCUAAGCGGGAAACUCGUUUCAAGAUGAGAUCUGCCGGGGCCUUGAGCCCCCUAAAGAGUCGUUCAAGACCAGGACGUUGAUAGGUCGGGUGUGGAAGCGCAGUAA